Molecule: RNase P RNA, 475 nt
Filed under: Deltaproteobacteria bacterium RBG_16_49_23
Lineage: Bacteria; Deltaproteobacteria
Description: RNase P RNA component class A
Rfam family: Bacterial RNase P class A
About the family: Ribonuclease P (RNase P) is a ubiquitous endoribonuclease, found in archaea, bacteria and eukarya as well as chloroplasts and mitochondria. Its best characterised activity is the generation of mature 5'-ends of tRNAs by cleaving the 5'-leader elements of precursor-tRNAs.
Source: RNAcentral
GGAAGGGGAAGAGAUGGCCGCUCCUCAUCACCGCCCGUCAGGGGAGGUGGUCGGGGGGAGGAAAGUCCGAGCUCCACAGGGCAGGGUGGUCCGUAACGCGGACUGCCCCCCGUGAAGCGGCGGCUACGCCUGCUUCACAGGGGAAAAGGAAAGUGCCACAGAAAAGAUACCGUCCCGCCUUUGGCGGGAUAAGGGUGAAAAGGCGAGGCAAGAGCUCACCAGUGCACCGAGUGAUCGGAGCAGCUUGGUAAACCCCACCCGGAGCAAGACCAAAUAGGUCCCGCUUCCUUCCCGUGAAAACGAGGAAGAUGAGAAAAGCCCAUUCGAAUCUAUUCCGUAAAACGGAAUAAAGGCGGGACGGGUAAGGUCGCUUGAGGUCUUGAGCAAUCAGGAUCCCAGAUAAAUGGCCAUCAUCCCGGCUUCCCCUGAACGGGAAGCCGGGAUACAGAACUCGGCUUACGGUCCCCUUCGAAUC